UAUUAUAAUCAAAGGAAUUAUAAAAAUGAAAAGGAAUCGCAGUUUAAUGUAUGUGUAAACACGUUGUUUUUCUGGUAAUGAGCAUAAGAUAGGGUAAACAACCUAUAAUUCUUAGAAUUUCAUUAAAUAUUGAUUUUAACUUUGCUUUUGGAAGGAUCGGAAUUUGGAUCUCUUUUAGACAAAGUUGACAGAAUUACCAUUAUCUUCAAAUAAUAAAAGGGAAAACGAAAUGAGGCUUCUACUACUUGUAACUAUGCUGUUAUUGCUGCUGACUGGAACAGUAUUAACGAUGGCUAUUCCUGUGGGCCAGGUUCUUCUUAAUAAGGUGAUGAAUCGAAACACAUUAUCCAAGAAGAACGGAUGCUGCUGUCCGGGUGGUGUUGGUUGCAGUGGUUAAACUGUGGAAAUAAAUAAACUCAAUAUUUGAACAAUCCUGGUAUAUUUUCUACAAUCAACCCAUUUAUUU
Molecule: long non-coding RNA, 466 nt
Organism: Patella vulgata (common limpet)
Lineage: Eukaryota; Metazoa; Mollusca; Gastropoda; Patellidae
Exons: 3
Source: RefSeq, a predicted model, not a curated record